This 791-nucleotide ribosomal RNA is filed under the name uncultured Methanothermobacter sp. RNAcentral describes it as "bacterial SSU rRNA". It matches the Rfam family "Archaeal small subunit ribosomal RNA", at positions 85 to 879 of the family's 1478-position model. Lineage: Archaea; Methanobacteriati; Methanobacteriota; Methanobacteria; Methanobacteriales; Methanobacteriaceae. The record is from RNAcentral.
ACGGCUCAGUAACACGUAGGUAACCUACCCUUCGGACGGGCACAACCCCGGGAAACUGGGGCUAAUUCCCGAUAGGUACCCCCUUCUGGAAUGUGGGGAUAUCCAAAGCUCCGGCGCCGAAGGAUGGGCCUGCGGCCGAUUAGGUUGUUGGCGGGGUAACAGCCCACCAAGCCGACGAUCGGUACGGGCAGUGAGAGCUGUAGCCCGGAGAUGGGGACUGAGACAAGGCCCCAGGCCCUACGGGGCGCAGCAGGCGCGAAACCUUCACAAUGCACGAAAGUGUGAUGAGGGUACUCCGAGUGCGCAUACAUUGUAUGUGCUUUUCUGCAGCGUAAAUAGUUGCAGGAAUAAGGGCUGGGCAAGACCGGUGCCAGCCGCCGCGGUAACACCGGCAGCCCUAGUGGUGGCCGCUUUUAUUGGGCCUAAAGCGUCCGUAGCCGGACAGGCGAGUCUUUGGGUAAAUCCUACGUCUUAAGCGUGGGAAUUCUAAAGAUACUACCUGUCUUGAGGCCGGGAGAGGCUGGAGGUACUCCUGGGGUAGGGGUAAAAUCCUAUAAUCCUGGGGGGACCACCGAUGGCGAUGGCAUCCAGCUGGAACGGGCCUGACGGUGAGGGACGAAACCCAGGGGAGCGAGCCGGAUUAGAUACCCGGGUAGUCCUGGGCGUAAAUGAUGUGGGCUUGGUGUGAGCGCAUCGACGAGGUGCGCUUGUGCCGUAGGGAAGCCGUUAAGCCCACCGCCUGGGGAGUACGGUCGCAAGGCUGAAACUUAAAGGAAUUGGCGGGGGAGCAC